ACGAAACAUCAGCGCGAGAAGAUGUACAUCCAGACCAGAAUGGUUCAUUAUGCAGAGGAACUGUGGGAAGUAUGGACUUGAGGGAAUGGAAGAAGGCACCAGCGACAUGAUGGUUUCUUUGGCUGCGGAAGACGGUACGAUUGGAUAGAGUACAAGAGGCAAUUGAAGAAGGCAGAGCAAUGGAAUGUUGAAGUUUACUGAUCAACACAAAUAACCGAAGAACCAGUCCUUCCAUUGAUUCAUAUUUACCGUGCAAAUGGGUGACUUUUCCUGCAACUUGCAUUGAUUUUACGUUCA
This is a long non-coding RNA of Rhodamnia argentea, 297 nucleotides long. RefSeq lists it as uncharacterized. Lineage: Eukaryota; Viridiplantae; Streptophyta; Magnoliopsida; Myrtales; Myrtaceae. The record is from RefSeq and is a predicted model, not a curated record. The transcript has 2 exons.